UUGCAAUGUCGCUCCAGGCUGCGUUAACAUCUCUGACGUACAGCGAUCCAUCUUCACAAAUAUCUUUUCUGGGAGUUCUUCUCCGCAUCUUGAUGUUCUUAGGUCUUGAAGUGAGAUUACUUGCACAUGCCUUAUCCCUGCGGAGGCUAUAAGGUUUUCUCUCAGGCCACAACACUUGACUCUUCUCUGCCUGCCGUCCAUUCUUCCUCACGGCCCCAUAGGUCUUCUUGUCCGAUAGCAUCUCCGAUCUGAGUCUUUCCUCUUAAAGAGCUUAUUUUAUGUCUCUCGUCUUGUCUGUGUGCCGUGUCGGUCUGUGCGUGUUUGUCUGUCGGAGCUGCUCUGCCUGGGUGCGUAGAGGUGGCAGCUGUAGAAGCACAGUAAGGUUCUAUGUCAAUAAGCCUGGACUUUGUAGGGAAAAGGCGUACCGUCCAUUUCAGAGCAACUAAUUAUGUAGCCAACAGGCAAGAAGAGUUCUUUCUGUAGCGCUACGCAGACAUGCAGGGGAUGAGCAGAGUUUUAUUGACACCAGGCUGUCGAGAGAAUUGGGGUGGUAUACCUAAAUGAAAAUGGGAUCUCUGGAACUGUUAAGCUAUUGCUCGUCAUCCAGAUGACUCACUCAAUAUCUCUUUUGCAGAUGAAGAGGGACAACUCGCUCACCUAAUGACAACAGAGAAGAUAAAUCGAGCAGUUUAGGAAGGUGUCCUAUCGGUGAAGGUAGAAGCACGCCUCGUCGCUCGUCUUGCAAGCGGUACCCGAGCCUCAACGUGACAACCUGUAAACAGUAGAGGCGGAGCGGGUGACGCACGUAGCCUCGGAAGGGUGAAGGAGCAUGCCGAUGACCAACCUGAGAAGGUGCCAAGUGAGCCACCUUUGGGAUCAUCUGAGCAUCGAAAAGCAGCCGGAGUAGUAGCAAGGACAAGCACGGGGUCGGCGACUUCUCACAAGCA
Long non-coding RNA from Tyto alba (common barn owl), 947 nucleotides. RefSeq lists it as uncharacterized. Lineage: Eukaryota; Metazoa; Chordata; Aves; Strigiformes; Tytonidae. The transcript is spliced from 4 exons. The record is from RefSeq and is a predicted model, not a curated record.